UUCUUUUCUCACUUUUUUUUCACUCUCUUUUUUCAAGUUUUCUUUCUUUUUCUCAUUUUUCUUUUCUUUUGUAUUUUUGCUUUUUUCUUUUUCUCUCACUUGAUCCACGGAAUUUUUCAACUUAAUUUGAUCUUCAUACACUUGCUUUGGCGUCAAUGGGGCUAAGGUUACAUUUCUUCCCAUAUGUUUGAAAGAAUAGCGAUUUGAAUAUCCGUCGUGCAUUACUCGACGAUCGAAUUGCCACGGACGGCCCAAUAACAAAUGACCCGCAUGCAUUGGAACAACAUCGCAUAGUACCUCGUCACAAUAUUUUCCAAUGGAGAAUGAAACUGAACUUGCUUAGUGACCUUG
This 351-nucleotide long non-coding RNA is filed under the name Gossypium raimondii (Peruvian cotton). RNAcentral's name for it is "long non-coding RNA (GRAI_LNC009348)". The record is from RNAcentral. Lineage: Eukaryota; Viridiplantae; Streptophyta; Magnoliopsida; Malvales; Malvaceae.